GCACCCAAUGCAAUGGGCAGGAGGUGAGGAUGGAGGUGCUGUGCCUGCUGCUGUCUGCUCUCUGCGCUGCUGCUGUGCCCAAAUCAGCUCCAGUGAAGGCAACGGGAGUUCCCACCGCGGUGCCGAGCAACAUCUCAGCAGAGUCAGGUCCCUGGGGCACAGCCACGCUGCGCCUGGCUGGUGGCAGCCACCCCUGUGAGGGCACAGUGCAGGUGCAGCAUCAUGGCCAGUGGAUGCCCGUGUGUCGGGGGUCCUGGAGUGCUGCUGCCUCUCAGGAGCUGUGCCACCACCUGCACUGCGGGGAUGCUGAGGAUGAUGCGGU
RNAcentral lists this long non-coding RNA (322 nucleotides) under Chrysolophus pictus (golden pheasant). RNAcentral describes it as "lncRNA (ENSCPIG00010006550.1)". Lineage: Eukaryota; Metazoa; Chordata; Aves; Galliformes; Phasianidae. The record is from RNAcentral.